Molecule: ribosomal RNA, 526 nt
Filed under: uncultured bacterium
Lineage: Bacteria
Description: bacterial SSU rRNA
Rfam family: Bacterial small subunit ribosomal RNA
Source: RNAcentral
AAUAGAUACCCGGGUAGUCCACGCCGUAAACGAUGAGUGCUAAGUGUUGGAGGGUUUCCGCCCUUCAGUGCUGCAGCUAACGCAUUAAGCACUCCGCCUGGGGAGUACGGUCGCAAGACUGAAACUCAAAGGGAAUUGACGGGGGCCCGCACAAGCGGUGGAGCAUGUGGUUUAAUUCGAAGCAACGCGAAGAACCUUACCAGGUCUUGACAUCUCCUGACCGCCCUGGAGACAGGGUCUUCCCUUCGGGGACAGGAUGACAGGUGGUGCAUGGUUGUCGUCAGCUCGUGUCGUGAGAUGUUGGGUUAAGUCCCGCAACGAGCGCAACCCUUGGUUCUAGUUGCCAGCAUUCAGUUGGGGCACUCUAGAGCGACUGCCGGCGACAAGUCGGAGGAAGGUGGGGAUGACGUCAAAUCAUCAUGCCCCUUAUGACCUGGGCUACACACGUGCUACAAUGGAUGGUACAAAGGGCAGCGAAGCGGCGACGCAUGAGCGAAUCCCAGAAAACCAUUCUCAGUUCGGAUUG